Molecule: non-coding RNA, 209 nt
Organism: Oryza glumipatula
Lineage: Eukaryota; Viridiplantae; Streptophyta; Magnoliopsida; Poales; Poaceae
Source: Rfam
UUUAAGUGCAGUGAUGGGUUUAUAUACUUAACAUGUUUGACCAUCUAUCUUAUUUAAUAUUUUUUUUAUGAUUAGUAUUUUAAUUGUUAUUAGAUGAUAAAACAUGAAUAAUGCUUUAUGCGUGACUUGUUUUUAUUUAUUUUUUCAUAAAAUUUUAAAUAGGAUGAACGGUCAAACGUGAGACAUGGAAACUCACAACUGCGCUUAAA